Molecule: non-coding RNA, 1093 nt
Organism: Cinara cedri
Lineage: Eukaryota; Metazoa; Arthropoda; Insecta; Hemiptera; Aphididae
Source: the annotation of a GenBank genome assembly
GUUAUCUCGUAACGGUAUUAGGUUUUCCGCGGAGAACCGGCCAACCGAACAGAAAACCCUCGAAUAUCGUAAAAUAAUAAUAUAAUAAUAAUAAUAAUAAUUAUUAUUAUUAUUAUUAUUGGUAAACCGAAUUUUCGCAUUAAAAGCAGACGAAUUUUAUCCGCGGUACGAUGUCAGAGCGAACCGGUCUCAAUAAUACGUCUGGCACGUUAUGACCGGACGUUAGCAACUCCGUUGAAAAUAUUUGAAAUCCAAACCAUUCUGUUCUUUUUUUGAACACCCGUCGAUUUCUGCUCGAAAUGUAAACGCAAUCGGUUAUCUUUUGUCGGAUUCACGGCAAAACAGCUCGUAAGCGGGACAAUUAAGUUGUUUUGUUUGUUUUUAAUUGCGUGUCAUUCCGCACGGUUUGACGUGACUGCGAUUCGCGUUUUCGCGACAUUUGCGCUUACGAUAAUGUAGCUAGUAUACACAAAAUAAAUCAACUUUCGAAUCGAACUACGCGAUUUAAAACAUUAAAAUUAUUUUUUUUUUUGGUAAAUAUUAUCGAAUAGCUGUUGAUAAAUAUUUAUGUAGAAAAACGCGAAACGAGAAAAAUUCGAAAUCGGUUAGUGUUUAGGUGCGGCCGCGGUUUUCGCGUUUCCCCUAAAAUCGACCCACGGCGUGAUUGUGUCGCGAAGCAUUGAAAUAUUACCGGACAUUUAAAACUUAAACAAUAGUAAUUGUGCGGGCUCGAUGUUCGUACCGUUAUAAUUUUUUUUUUUAUCGAGUUGCCGUCCGCCGUACGGUAUGAAAAUUCGGCACCUCGACUGUUACGGUUGCUAUUUACCGUUUUCGGCGCUUCGUGUACGGUAUUUCGUAAUCCCUCGAAAACAGUGAUUUCAGAAGUUUUAACGAAAUAUUCGGAAAAGCGUAAGUACGAAACGCGACAUAGUUGUGGACACGUUAAAAAAUAAUAAUGAUAAUAAUAUAAAAAAAUAGUAUUAUACGCGUCGGAUCGUGGCCGUUAUGGAUUAUCGCCGGUGAUGAGAUGUUUACCACGAGAGGAGACCUUGAAAUAUAUAUAAGUAUUAUUUUUCUUAUGAAUCGAAUUUUG